UUUAACCUAAUUUUUUCUCUUCUCUUCCUGAAUCGCCGCCGAAGAAGAACAACACCAAUCUGCAUCACCAUUCACUAAACCUACCUCACUCUAAAACUAUUAUCAUUCAUUCAACAACACCUCUCUCCUCUCCUUUUUCUCUUCUCUGUUUGUUCGGAUCCAACUCGAGGAAAGAAACAAAUUAGGGGUUAGGGUUUGCACUUUUCAGAAAAUUUUCAAAAUCGAAUUUCCAUCGCAAUGGCUUCCACAAAGAAAAUCACUCUCAAGAGUUCUGAUGCGACCUCAUCGCCUUCAUCUCAGAAUGGAGGAUAUAUUGGCGAGGGCGAAGUACGCGGUGGUGGAGAAUGAGGAUUACGGUAGCCUCAUGUGUGAGCAAUGUGGCACCGGGGAGCAGCCGGAGGAGCUGCUGUUGUGCGACAAAUGUGACAAAGGAUUCCAUAUGAAAUGUGUGAGGCCGAUUGUUGUGAGGAUUCCAAUUGGUUCUUAGAUUUGCCCUAAGUGUUCAGGGGUGAAGAAAGUGAAAAAGUUCACGCAAAGGAGAAUACUUGAUUUCUUCGGGCUUCCAAGGAAUUUGCCUGAUUUCAGAAGGAAUAAUUCUUCUUCUUGGGGGUAAU
Vicia villosa (hairy vetch) is the source of this 614-nucleotide long non-coding RNA. RefSeq lists it as uncharacterized. NCBI's taxonomy places the organism in Eukaryota, Viridiplantae, Streptophyta, Magnoliopsida, Fabales, Fabaceae. The record is from RefSeq and is a predicted model, not a curated record. The transcript is spliced from 3 exons.